Molecule: long non-coding RNA, 1543 nt
Organism: Suricata suricatta (meerkat)
Lineage: Eukaryota; Metazoa; Chordata; Mammalia; Carnivora; Herpestidae
Exons: 3
Source: RefSeq, a predicted model, not a curated record
AAAAUGCAAGCCACUACCUUGAAUACCUUCUCCUGCUGGGGACAAAAACAAGACAUUGGGGGAAGAGGAAGCCAGUUGUGGGAGGAACCAGGAAGAGCUCAGUAAACAAGGAAUCUUUUCUGGAAGUUCCUGCAUGAGCUCUGCUAGUACCUCACUGGUGACCCCGCACCAUGAGGCGGAUAGGACAUGUGGUCCUUCACCUGGACACGUUGCCCUGCAGUGAAAUUAGGCUGCCAUCCACAAGCACGAAGAGAAGUACAGUAUUGGAUGGGCACCUUGCAGCUCCGCACAACUGCAUAUUGAAGGAAGAGGCCAGGAGAGGUGUGACUUUUCCAUAUUCCCAGUUCCAGAGGGCUAGGAGUACUUGGUGAGCUGCUCACUCUGAUGGCUACCAAAGCAAGGAAAUCGAUUACACUGGAAGAUGAGGAGCAUGAAGCUCAGAGAGGUUAAGUACCUAGACCAAGAGUAUUCCACUGCAGGUGGCGGGGCUCAGACUCAGGACUACCUUUGUCUGGCAUCUAGGCUUUUACCCACUAAGCCGACAUUGCUGCCGUUCCUCCUCUCCUCGUUACAGAUUUUCAUCUCUUAAUGAAUUAUAAGUUUGUUUUGUUCCCGUAAGUGAAAACUCUCCACGUAGAAGGAAAACACAGAAACAUAAAGAAAAGUGGAUCAAUGGAAGUUGGGUAAUUCUACCAAAAAUUCACUUAUUUUCCGUGUCCAAACUGUGCCUCAAGUUACUUUCAAUUCAAUCUUAAGAUUGCCAGUCAGCUGUUUGUAAGUGUUGAAUUAUCAAAAGCUGAGAAAUAAUGGGUCCAUCCAUCAUCGGGCUGGGAGUAAAUGUACUUCAGCAUCGGUGUGGAUUCCCAGUCCACAGGAUAUUAUUCUGGGCAUCUUACUAAAAUUUUCCAGAGCCAACAUGGGCAUGGAAUAUUCCAGGUCACUUGGUUUCAUUUUGCUCACCAUUUUAACUCUCCCAGACACUUCCCAUUUGAUUUUCUCUACCUGAAAUUUCAUUCAAGAUUUUUGUUUCCACCGUCAGGAUACCUACGUCUAGGAGCCUUAGAGACACAUGGUUGGACAGUGGAUUUCUUCUGACUUGUUUCUUCUCCUUGAUCCUGGCUUCAAGUCUGACAAAUCUGGUUAUCUCCUUUGUAAAAGUUUCUUUGGAGAAAGGCAUGUAGUGCUUCAGAGCUACCCAAGGUCAACUGAACUUUGAAACUAAUUAGUAAUUGUUUGAGCGUUUGUUCUGUGUCCAGUGCAACUGCAUUUUGACUGAGUAGGACAUCCAGCAAGGAAGAAAAGUUUCGGCAUAACUGCCAUUAGUUAAUAAGGUUUCCAAGUGAAACUUUUCUAUUCUCAUGCAAAUACGUUAGCAUUAAUCAGCAUCCUCUUGUCAUGGCAAAACAAAUGGGAGCAGAGCAGUGAGGACUAUGAGAACAGGGUAAACGAUAUUUAGAAAUCCCACCUCUGGGGGCACAUGGGUGACUCAGUCAGUUGAGUGUCCACUGAUUUCGAGGUUUGGUUCCAGAGUUUGAGCCCUGUG